Molecule: ribosomal RNA, 460 nt
Filed under: uncultured bacterium
Lineage: Bacteria
Description: partial 16S ribosomal RNA
Rfam family: Bacterial small subunit ribosomal RNA
Source: RNAcentral
CCUACGGGGAGCUGCAGUGAGGAAUAUUGGUCAAUGGACGAGAGUCUGAACCAGCCAAGUAGCGUGAAGGAUGACUGCCCUAUGGGUUGUAAACUUCUUUUAUAUGGGAAUAAAACGUUCCACGUGUGGGAUUUUGUAUGUACCAUAUGAAUAAGGAUCGGCUAACUCCGUGCCAGCAGCCGCGGUAAUACGGAGGAUCCGAGCGUUAUCCGGAUUUAUUGGGUUUAAAGGGAGCGUAGGUGGAUUGUUAAGUCAGUUGUGAAAGUUUGCGGCUCAACCGUAAAAUUGCAGUUGAAACUGGCAGUCUUGAGUACAGUAGAGGUGGGCGGAAUUCGUGGUGUAGCGGUGAAAUGCUUAGAGAUCACGAAGAACUCCGAUUGCGAAGGCAGUUCACUGGACUGCAACUGACACUGAGGCUCGAAAGUGUGGGUAUCAAACAGGAUUAGAUACCCCAGUAGUC